This 291-nucleotide long non-coding RNA is filed under the name Gossypium raimondii (Peruvian cotton). Its description in RNAcentral is "long non-coding RNA (GRAI_LNC006365)". The record is from RNAcentral. Lineage: Eukaryota; Viridiplantae; Streptophyta; Magnoliopsida; Malvales; Malvaceae.
UGGCUGCUGCGGCGCUGGGAGCUGAAUGUUGCUAGGGUUUCUUGCUUCUGUUUUGUGUUUUGGGCUCAUUGGGCUAGAGGUUUUUAGGCUAGUGGGCUAGGUUAAAUUUAGGUUUUGGGCUUCGGUUAAUUGGUUUUGGUUGUAAUUUUGGGUUUCUGUUAACUGUUUAAUAGACUUAUUUAUGUAAAUGGACUUUUAAUUUUUUUUUGUUUUUAUAUUGGUUUUAUUUAUUUACAUGGGCCCGAGCAUAUUGGGCUAUUACAGCUGCCCCUCUUUGCUCGUUGUCGUGUA